UAAACUAAAACAUAGUUAUUUGAGCAGACUUAUAACAACAAACCUGAUUAUAGCUACUUGUACUCAUCGUCAGAGGAGAUGGAUUUGAGGAAUUUGAAUUAGAUUGUGCAUGACAUGAGGAAUAUGAGUUCAAAACCUGAAAUACGAUAAUAAAAAAAAAAUUCAUGAACUAGUAAGAUUACUUAAUCUGAAAUCAAACUAAGUGUCAGUUAUACGUAUCAACUUGCCUGAUUAGAUGGAGGCAAACAUGGCUGCACAUUAAUAGUUGAGGACUGUGUGCAAACCUUCUUACUAGAUGAGACUGGAUCUUUUGAUGCUCUGUUCUUUUGCUUCUCAAUAUUACCUUUGCUUGACAACACUGGAUCUUCUGAUUGCUUUUGUUUUUGUUGCUUUGCCGCAUCACCUUUUU
Molecule: long non-coding RNA, 409 nt
Filed under: Fragaria vesca (wild strawberry)
Lineage: Eukaryota; Viridiplantae; Streptophyta; Magnoliopsida; Rosales; Rosaceae
Description: long non-coding RNA (FVES_LNC004655)
Source: RNAcentral